UAUCCAUGAUGUGGACAUGAAUUCAAAAGAUCCUUGAAUCUCUCCCAGUAUUAGAAGAAGGUCUCUUCCUCUUUCUGGAAAAAAAAUCAUGAUCACCCUCCUCAAGGUA
Magnolia sinica is the source of this 109-nucleotide small nucleolar RNA. The record is from RefSeq and is a predicted model, not a curated record. Lineage: Eukaryota; Viridiplantae; Streptophyta; Magnoliopsida; Magnoliales; Magnoliaceae.